RNAcentral lists this long non-coding RNA (146 nucleotides) under Ficedula albicollis (Collared flycatcher). Its description in RNAcentral is "lncRNA (ENSFALG00000027651.1)". Lineage: Eukaryota; Metazoa; Chordata; Aves; Passeriformes; Muscicapidae. The record is from RNAcentral.
AUGAGAUGGGUGAUAGAUCUACAAGAUAAAGCACUGGAUUGCUUCGAGACAGAGGGGUUACUCUCUCAGGCUGAGACUGUGCCACCAACUGUGCAGUUUCAUUACAGCAUCUGUGUUGCAGUCCUGCCUUGCACUGGUGGCAUGCU